Molecule: ribosomal RNA, 429 nt
Filed under: uncultured eukaryote
Lineage: Eukaryota
Description: bacterial SSU rRNA
Rfam family: Eukaryotic small subunit ribosomal RNA
Source: RNAcentral
UUCUAGCAUAUAUUAAAAUUGCUGCAGUUAAAACGCUCGUAGUUUUAUUUAUUAGAGUGGAAGUCUUGGGUUUAUGAUUUAGUUUAUUUACGCAGGAUUUGCGCUCUAUUAAGAUUAUAAGGAUAGUUUUUAAUUAGACUAUCUUUUAGUUAACCUUGAACAAAAAUUAUCGCUCAAAGAAAGACUUCGGUUUGGUGAGAUUUUAGCAUGGGAUUAUAGAAGAAGGGGAGCCGGGCCCUGGGAGAAGGAGACUUUUCUCAGGGUACGGUUCUCAAUGGUUAAUGAGGAAGAUGCGUGGAAGUUUAUAUUUAAAAGCUAGAGGUGAAAUUCUUGGAUUUUUUAACGAUAAACAUCAGCGAAGGCAUUCUUCAAGUGCUUACCUAUCGACAAAGAACGAAAGUUGGGGGAUCGAAGAUGAUCAGAUACCAU